GACAGAGGGUGCAAACGUUGUUCGGAAUUACUGGGCAUAAAGCGCACGUAGGUGGUCCGCUAAGUCGCGUGUGAAAUCCCCCGGCUCAACCGGGGAAAUGCGCGUGAUACUGGCGGGCUUGAGAUCGGGAGGGGUGAAUGGAACUCCAGGUGGAGCGGUGAAAUGCGUAGAUAUCUGGAGGAACACCGGUGGCGAAAGCGGUUCACUGGCCCGACACUGACACUGAAAAGCGAAAGCCAGGGGAGCAAACGGG
Molecule: ribosomal RNA, 253 nt
Filed under: uncultured bacterium
Lineage: Bacteria
Description: partial 16S ribosomal RNA
Rfam family: Bacterial small subunit ribosomal RNA
Source: RNAcentral